GAUGAAGAACGUAGCGAAAUGCGAUAAGUAAUGUGAAUUGCAGAAUUCAGUGAAUCAUCGAAUCUUUGAACGCACCUUGCGCCCUUUGGCCAUUCCGAAGGGCAUGCCUGUUUGAGUAUCAUGAACACCUCAACUCUUUAUGGUUUUCCAUGAUGAGCUUGGACUUUGGGGGUUUUGCUGGCCUAUGGUCGGCUCCUCUAAAAUAAAUCAGCUUACCGGUGUUUGGUGGGUAUCAUGGGUGUGAUAACUAUCUACGCUUGUGGUUUUUCCACCAGGUAACCUUCGACAGCGGAGGUUCACUGGAGCUCACAGAUGUCUCUCCUCAGCGAGGACAGCCCUUUGAAUGUUUGAUCUCAAAUCAGGUAGGACUACCCGCUGAACUUAAGCAUAUCAAUAAGCGGAGGA
This 405-nucleotide unclassified non-coding RNA is filed under the name soil metagenome. RNAcentral's name for it is "partial contains 5.8S ribosomal RNA, internal transcribed spacer 2, and large subunit ribosomal RNA". The stretch from base 1 to 121 matches the Rfam family "5.8S ribosomal RNA", at positions 35 to 154 of the family's 154-position model. The record is from RNAcentral.